AGAGGAUAAGAGAAAAGCUGGCAGAGAACAUCCACGAGCUCUGGGUUAUGAAUAAAAUUGAACUUGGCUGGCAGUAUGGCCCGGUCAGAGAUGACAACAAGAGGCAGCACCCGUGUCUGGUGGAGUUCUCCAAGCUGCCGGAGCAGGAGCGCAACUACAACCUGCAGAUGUCGCUCGAGACCCUGAAGACCUUGUUGGCAUUAGGAUGCCACGUGGGAAUAUCAGAUGAACAUGCUGAGGAAAAGGUGAAAAAGAUGAAGCUCCCCAAGAAGUA
Molecule: long non-coding RNA, 274 nt
Organism: Myotis lucifugus (little brown bat)
Lineage: Eukaryota; Metazoa; Chordata; Mammalia; Chiroptera; Vespertilionidae
Exons: 3
Source: RefSeq, a predicted model, not a curated record